AUCAUAAGAGAUGGUGAGGAU
Molecule: microRNA, 21 nt
Filed under: Marchantia polymorpha subsp. ruderalis
Lineage: Eukaryota; Viridiplantae; Streptophyta; Marchantiopsida; Marchantiales; Marchantiaceae
Source: RNAcentral